Molecule: ribosomal RNA, 301 nt
Filed under: uncultured bacterium
Lineage: Bacteria
Description: partial 16S ribosomal RNA
Rfam family: Bacterial small subunit ribosomal RNA
Source: RNAcentral
CAGUAGCCGCGGUAAUACGGAGGGUGCAAGCGUUAAUCGGAAUUACUGGGCGUAAAGCGCACGCAGGCGGUCUGUCAAGUCAGAUGUGAAAUCCCCGGGCUUAACCUGGGAACUGCAUUUGAAACUGGCAGGCUAGAGUCUUGUAGAGGGGGGUAGAAUUCCAGGUGUAGCGGUGAAAUGCGUAGAGAUCUGGAGGAAUACCGGUGGCGAAGGCGGCCCACUGGACAAAGACUGACGCUCAGGUGCGAAAGCGUGGGGAGCAAACAGGAUUAGAUACCCCUGUAGUCCCUGUCUCUUAUAC